AGCAAAACAAAGGAAAAUCAAACAAAAUAACAGAAAGAAAUGAAAAAUCGUAUCCAGGCUAUCAAUGAGUCGCAAUGUAGCAGACAUACACGACUAACUUUUUAAGUUGGUUGUUUAUUAGAAUAUUUAUUCUAAUAUAUAAACUAUAGGGAAAGUCCCCAUGUGAGAGUAAGAAUUCUCUAUAUGGCUUUAGUUAUAUAAGAAUAUACUUACUAAUCUAGAGGAUCAUCAUUAAUUUGGAGUAUCUUUAUUUAUUUAGAUUCUUUAAUGUGAGGUACCUUUCUUAUCUAUCCUCUUUAUUGGAUGGAUAAAGAUAGUGAUACUGAUAUUAUAGUGAGAGAUUUCUCUUACUAUGGAAUCUUAUAUAAUUGAUACUGGCAGUCUCAUUAUUAUUGAAUGAGUGUAAAAUGUGAUCGUUAAGUUAAUAGCGACUGGUAUCUUUUUAAGUAGGAUACAACAGAAUGGGGCUUACACUUGAUUUGCUUGGUAAUUUUACUUUGAU
RNAcentral lists this small nuclear RNA (502 nucleotides) under Cryptosporidium parvum. The record is from RNAcentral. Lineage: Eukaryota; Apicomplexa; Conoidasida; Eucoccidiorida; Cryptosporidiidae.